AGCGGUUGGGAUUCUUACAUACCGAACUUCCCUCUCGCCUUUUACUAGAGGAAACCGUGCGAGGAUCCCAAUAUGACCGCAUUACAAAUUUUUCAAAUCUCAGUUCCACUGAGCU
This 115-nucleotide small nuclear RNA is filed under the name Sphaerobolus stellatus SS14. RNAcentral's name for it is "U5 spliceosomal RNA". It matches the Rfam family "U5 spliceosomal RNA". From Rfam's summary of the family: U5 RNA is a component of both types of known spliceosome. The precise function of this molecule is unknown, though it is known that the 5' loop is required for splice site selection and p220 binding, and that both the 3' stem-loop and the Sm site are important for Sm protein binding and cap methylation. Lineage: Eukaryota; Fungi; Basidiomycota; Agaricomycetes; Geastrales; Sphaerobolaceae. The record is from Rfam by way of RNAcentral.